RNAcentral lists this ribosomal RNA (253 nucleotides) under uncultured bacterium. RNAcentral's name for it is "partial 16S ribosomal RNA". It matches the Rfam family "Bacterial small subunit ribosomal RNA", at positions 796 to 1041 of the family's 1533-position model. The record is from RNAcentral.
UACGCCGUAAACGAUGCGCACUAGGUUCGAGUAGCUCUGACGCUUCUCGAGCCGAAACAAAAGCGUUAAGUGCGCCGCCUGGGGAGUACGGCCGCAAGGCUAAAACUCAAAGGAAUUGACGGGGGCUCACACAAGCGGUGGAGCAUGUGGAUCAAUUCGAAGCAACGCGAAGAACCUUACCUGGGUUUGACAUUCACGGAUGCCGUCCUGGAAACAGGAGCCGGUUGCCUUCGGGUGAAACGUGGACAGGUGC